ACAGCCGUUGCACACGAGUCAGUCGAUCCUAAGCCCUAUGUGAAAGCUGAUGCCGAUGGGUGGUCGAAAGUUGUUGGCCGAUACCCCCGGUGGGCGAAAGGGAAUCCGGUUCCUAUUCCGGAACCCGGCAGCGGAACCGUUCCGAUUCGGGCCCUCAUAUGAGUGUUCGUCGGGGUAACCCAAAAGGACCCGGAGACGCCGUCGGGAGAUCUGGGGAGAGUUUUCUUUUCUGUAUGAGCGUUCGAGUUCCCUGGAAUCCUCUAGCAGGGAGAUAGGGU
RNAcentral lists this ribosomal RNA (278 nucleotides) under Eurycantha coronata. Its description in RNAcentral is "partial 28S ribosomal RNA". It matches the Rfam family "Eukaryotic large subunit ribosomal RNA", at positions 1517 to 1747 of the family's 3401-position model. The record is from RNAcentral. Lineage: Eukaryota; Metazoa; Arthropoda; Insecta; Phasmatodea; Phasmatidae.